This 633-nucleotide long non-coding RNA is filed under the name Eucalyptus grandis. RNAcentral describes it as "long non-coding RNA (EGRA_LNC006920)". The record is from RNAcentral. Lineage: Eukaryota; Viridiplantae; Streptophyta; Magnoliopsida; Myrtales; Myrtaceae.
UGGGAUGAGUGCUGGGUCAACUUAUAUAUCCUUAACAAAAGCAUUCUGGUCACAUAGGAAAUUAACAUUCAUGUCGUAUCUUCUUACAUGAUUUGCGAAGAGUAGAAUAACAAAAUCAUUUCACUAGUACUUCAUUUACAGAAUUUUCUAAUAUAAAACAAGUAAUGUUCGAAACAAGAGAACAUAGAAUAGAAUUAAUCAAAAGCUAUGAAAAGAAAACCCAUCAUCCUGCGUAAGUUUUGCUGCACGCAUAUGCCAUUAUCAUCACGUUGUUCAGCAAUCUCUUGUUGAUGUGUUGGAGUUCUUCUUAAAGCCCUCUUCACGUCGAGAUUCCGUUGCCACCAAACAAGAAAAAUCGUAUAUAGUAUCUCCUCACUGGAAACCGAGAAAAGAAGCCUUCGAUCAUCAGUGACCUCUCCCACGAUGACUUGGUCCAGAAUAAGCUCUGUCUAGGACGAUCUCUGAUUGCAAUGAACUCAGAGACUGGCGUCCUAGAGGUCUCACAGCUUCGACGUGCGAACUGUACGUGAGCAUGAGAAGGAAGAAGAGGAUCAAGAAGGCGUUAAGAAACACGAUGAGAGAUUUUUGGGACCUCAUCCUUCUUCCCUUUGCUGUUUCAGUCUUGAUUUGUUA